UACGAAGGGGGCUAGCGUUGUUCGGAAUUACUGGGCGUAAAGCGUACGUAGGCGGAUUGUUAAGUGAGGGGUGAAAUCCCGAGGCUCAACCUCGGAACUGCCUUUCAUACUGGCAAUCUUGAGUCCGGGAGAGGUGAGUGGAACUCCUAGUGUAGAGGUGAAAUUCGUAGAUAUUAGGAAGAACACCAGUGGCGAAGGCG
Molecule: ribosomal RNA, 200 nt
Filed under: uncultured bacterium
Lineage: Bacteria
Description: partial 16S ribosomal RNA
Rfam family: Bacterial small subunit ribosomal RNA
Source: RNAcentral